UAUGAACGCUGGCGGCAGCCUACACAUGCAAGUCGAGCGGAAACGAAGAGGUGCUUGCACCUCUGGCGUCGAGCGGCGGACGGGUGAGUAAUGCUUGGGAAUAUGCCUUAUGGUGGGGGACAACAGUUGGAAACGACUGCUAAUACCGCAUGAUGUCUACGGACCAAAGUGGGGGACCUUCGGGCCUCACGCCAUAAGAUUAGCCCAAGUGGGAUUAGCUAGUUGGUGAGGUAAUGGCUCACCAAGGCGACGAUCCCUAGCUGGUUUGAGAGGAUGAUCAGCCACACUGGGACUGAGACACGGCCCAGACUCCUACGGGAGGCAGCAGUGGGGAAUAUUGCACAAUGGGCGCAAGCCUGAUGCAGCCAUGCCGCGUGUGUGAAGAAGGCCUUCGGGUUGUAAAGCACUUUCAGUAAGGAGGAAAGGUUAAGUGUUAAUAGCGCUUAGCUGUGACGUUACUUACAGAAGAAGCACCGGCUAACUCCGUGCCAGCAGCCGCGGUAAUACGGAGGGUGCGAGCGUUAAUCGGAAUUACUGGGCGUAAAGCGUACGCAGGCGGUUUGUUAAGCGAGAUGUGAAAGCCCCGGGCUCA
Molecule: ribosomal RNA, 592 nt
Filed under: uncultured bacterium
Lineage: Bacteria
Description: bacterial SSU rRNA
Rfam family: Bacterial small subunit ribosomal RNA
Source: RNAcentral